UGAGCCAGGUUUUUGAAGGAAGUGCGAGU
Molecule: non-coding RNA, 29 nt
Filed under: Mus musculus (house mouse)
Lineage: Eukaryota; Metazoa; Chordata; Mammalia; Rodentia; Muridae
Source: RNAcentral